Long non-coding RNA from Malus domestica (apple), 988 nucleotides. RefSeq lists it as uncharacterized. Lineage: Eukaryota; Viridiplantae; Streptophyta; Magnoliopsida; Rosales; Rosaceae. The record is from RefSeq and is a predicted model, not a curated record.
UUUCUUCUUUUUUUCUUCUGUAGGUGUAUGGGUAAGGAAGGGACUUUUUAAAAAAUUGGUGGAAGUUUCUGUAGGUGUAUGGGUAAGGAAGGGACUAAUUAGGAACAAAGAGUGGGGUUAGGAGGUAAGUCCAUAUCUUCCUCAGUCAGAGUAAUAUUCAAAUUAGGGAAAAGACAAGUCCUCACUAUAUUUCCUUUACAUUUCCUUAUUUGAGCACACUGUUAAGCGGCUUCUGCUUGUGUUAUCUUUAAUUAACAUUUCCAUUUAAACAGGCUCAGAGGAUUGGCAUGAUCAACACACUGCAAGAAAUGUGUAAUGCUCCACUUGGCAUGAUCAAAGUUAAGUGAAACAGAUAAUUCAUUGGACACUCAAGUACCAUUCCUCCCUUUGGUUGAGGUUUCAGUGAAGGCUUUACUUGUCAUAUCAUCAGUAGCUCUACCUGCAGCUCCAAGUGCAGCGACACGAGUUUUGUUCUGUGCUCAUCAUCCAUACUUGGUUGGAACUGCAAAGAGAGACGCAGUUUGGAAGUUUCUGGUUGAAGGGUUUUGAUCUUUUUUUAAUCAGUUGAAAGCGAUAGACGUGGGUUUUUAUUUUGUGAAAAGGAUGUGGUGUUAUAUGCCUAAACACGUAUAUGUGCAGAGGUUGAUGCAUUGAAGGAGGAAGUGACAACCCUAAAGGGUCAGCUUGCGAUCUAGGAAGAGCAGAUGAGGGCGCAGCUAAGGGCCUAGGACGAGGAGAUGAGGAACUAUGCCGGGACGGUGAGAGACCUUGUACAAGACAUACAGAUGUCCGGCCUCCAAAUCUCGCUACCACCACCUCAUCUUGCUCCACCUUCGACCUCAGAGCCAUCUUGUCGUGCCAAUACCUAGUAGCCUGAUGUAUUAAAAUUAGUUCACUUGUAGUUUUUUCUUUUUUGUUCGAACAUCUUGUAUGUACAUUUUCAUAUAUUUUAUAAUUAAAAUAUAAUUAAAUAAUUUUGCUUGGUUAA